AAUCCAAUAGAUGAGGAGAGGAGACGAAAAUAUACUAUACGAGGCCCCUUUUUGAUUCUGAUGUUCACUUUGGGAUGAACAUCUCCCUGAGAUUAGAUUCGAUUCGAUUCGAUUCGAUUCUAUCUGCAGAAUUGAUACUUUCUUUAUUAGUUUCUUACCAUCUUGAUCCAUGUCCGAUCCGGAGAGAGAUUAUCAGAUUAAGGUUUUAUUUUCUGGCGGGAUGAAAGUACCAUGAAUCUUCUAGUUAAUUAAGUGGUAGUGAGGCACGAGGCUCCAACAGCUCCUUUCAUGAUGUGUUUGUAGGUGGGAUGGAAUUUUUGGGAUUUUCAAUCUCUCUCUCUCUCUCUCUCUCUCUAUAUAUAUAUAUAUAUAUAUCUAUGUGUAUGUAUAUUAGGUAAAGCCUAAGGCUUAGAUGGUAUCAUAAUAAUUUAUUAUCAUCAUGCAAUUAUGAGUGAGUGGUGUGACCUUACCACCACUGCCCAUUUCUCCCUUGUUUUUAUCGAUCAUUUCCCCAAUUUGUCCAUACGUUUUAAGAUAAAUUUUUCACUAUCCAUACAUACUUUAUUUGAUUCAACAAAAUUAUUAUGCUAUUCAAAAAAGCAUCUUUAUUCCAAUUUAUUUGGGUUAAGACAAAAAGUGUGAUAUUUUCAUCAAAAGUGAAUGAUAUAUAGUAUACUUAUAUGUGUAUUAAAUUUAUAUAUUUUUAUUAAUUAACGGAAUCCGCUCAACAAAUCAUUCAUAUUUCCUUUACAUUAUUAGUUUAUUUAUUUACAUUAAUCACACAUUAGGGUUGGUUUGGUUGUAGGUAUGUAUGAGAGUUUUGAAAUUUGAAUAUUAAAAUUUUGAAUUAGAAUAAUUUUAAAUGUAAAAUUAUGUAAUCUAAAAAUAUUUCUUUCAAUUUGAACAUUAAAACUUUUUAUUUAAAUAAUGUUAACUGAUGCAAUGUUUUUGUGAAAUAAAAAAAUGUAUUUUUUGAAAAAUAUAGAGUCAAAUGAUACAAAACUGGAUCAAAACUUAAAAAUUCGUGUUUAAUUUGAUGUUGUUGAAAUUAUAUAUAUAUAAUAAAAAUGUGAUUCAAAGCUUACAAACAAACACAAAUUUUAAAUUUUCAAUCCUUUUAAUAAAAUAAUAACUUUCUAGUAACUAAUAAAAGUCGUUGCUCUACAUAUAUAUACACAAUUAUUUAUUACAUGCAUAUUAAUUCUUUUUAUUUGCAUAAAUUGGAGACUAAUUUAACAGUAAUAUACUACUAUAUGCAUAUAUUAUUACAUAGGGGAAGAGGUUGUUGGGCGGAGAAAUGAAAUCUCACCCGCCAGUCAAACUCAAAACAAACAAUCUGACACACGUGAGAACCCCAACCUUAGCUUUUUAUUUAUUUAUUUUUAUUUUUUAUUUUUAUAAAGACAUGAAUUCAUUACCAAACACCCAUCCACUACCAGCCUCCCUCCCUCCCUCCCUCCAUCUAUAAAAACCUACAGUAAUUCCAACGACCUGCAACAAGCUUGCCUUAAAUUCUCUCAAAUUCUGCUUCUUCCCAACCAUUUUUUUGAAGCUUUCUUAAUUUCUGGUUUUUUAUUUCACUUGGCAAUAAUAUUCCGGCAUUGAUCGAAUUUGGAUGCAGAUCGAGACGCAGGUAAGUGAGUGGCUUCUUCCAUUGAGGUUGUAGUUAACCUUGGCUUCGUUGUCUGUUCGACCUUGGAUUCAUUACUAUCCAUCUGAAACCCUAGUUGAUUUUUUUUUUUUUUUUUUGUUGUGUGUGUGUUGGGAUGAUAGAUAUUGAUAUUGAAUUUAUAUAUAGAUUAUAUAAUAUAUAUUUAGAAUCAUUUGCUUCUAUUAAGAUAUAUAUGUUUUUUAUUAACUUAUAUAUAUUUAGAGUCAUUUGUUUUUAUUAGAUAAUACAUUGUAAUGUAUAUCUACGAUUUUUCAUGAAUUGUAUGUUUCAAUUGCAGGAAUUUAGAUUUUUAUUUUUAUUUUUUAUCAUCAUCAUCAAAGCAUUUGAUGCAUGCUAUAAUUGAAUUGUGAAUGGAUUCAAUGUAUUUGUUAAUUGUUGGUUGGGAAAGAGUUAGGUAUUUCAUUUUAUUUUUAAUUAUUGCGGAGAUUUUGAUGAAAUAAACUGGCAAUCGACAAAACACUGGCUGAGCUUCUAGUACAUUUACUCUCACAGUGUAUGGAUUUUAAAAUAUUUCAUGACACCAACGUUUCAGAGAUUAUUGUUACAUUCAUGACAAAACCCCAAUUUUUAUUGCCGACACCAAAAUAUUUUUAAGAUAUGGGUAGAAUAUUGGUUAAUUAUUUAGAAUUAUUGCAUGUGAUUCUAGCCAAGUUGUAUGUGAUUUAUUAAAUAAAUGGGCCCCCCAAUAUUUGUUUCUAGUCCAGGAAGCCCAGGUUUAUGAUUCCUCUUCUACUUCUUGAACAUGAUCAUGUUCAUAUAAUUUUUAGUGUCUGGGUUGGGUUGGGUUGGAUUGAUUGCUUGAAUAAUUAAUCUAAGGUCGAACAAACAGUCGAAGCUAAGGUGUAACAACCAUUCACAUUCCGACAGAUGUGUAGCUGAGAGAGUUGGGUGGAAGCUUAAACAUGCAAGGAAUUGAAGUUAUCUUUUUAAUUUGAAAAGAUCUGAAAUUGUUUGUAAAUUUGAUUUAUAGAUGUAUAGAUUUGGGGAAUUUGAAAAUCCCAGAAAGCUGUAAAUUCCAGUUGUACAAAAGAAGCAAAAGGUUAAAAAAUGACUACAAUAUUGUAUGUCUAGUUCUAUCACUUUGUGGCAAAAAGGUGAAACAUAGAAUGUUUGUUUAUUUGAAUGAAAACGAACAGCCAUUUUGAAGGAAUUGAAGAUAAAGAAACAAUGGAAAGGACGGAUUUGAGAA
Molecule: long non-coding RNA, 2861 nt
Organism: Andrographis paniculata
Lineage: Eukaryota; Viridiplantae; Streptophyta; Magnoliopsida; Lamiales; Acanthaceae
Exons: 3
Source: RefSeq, a predicted model, not a curated record